This 440-nucleotide ribosomal RNA is filed under the name uncultured bacterium. RNAcentral's name for it is "partial 16S ribosomal RNA". It matches the Rfam family "Bacterial small subunit ribosomal RNA", at positions 338 to 795 of the family's 1533-position model. The record is from RNAcentral.
CCUACGGGAGGCAGCAGUAGGGAAUAUUGCUCAAUGGGGGAAACCCUGAAGCAGCCACGCCGCGUGGAGGAUGAAGGUUUUCGGAUUGUAAACUCCUUUUGAUAGAGAAGAUAAUGACGGUAUCUAACGAAUAAGCACCGGCUAACUCCGUGCCAGCAGCCGCGGUAAUACGGAGGGGGCAAGCGUUACUCGGAAUCACUGGGCGUAAAGAGCGCGUAGGCGGGAUAGCAAGUCAGAUGUGAAAUCCUAUGGCUUAACCAUAGAACUGCAUUGGAAACUGUUAUUCUAGAGUAUGGGAGAGGUAUGUGGAAUUCGUGGUGUAGGGGUAAAAUCCGUAGAGAUCAAGAGGAAUACUCAUUGCGAAGGCGACCUGCUAGAACAUAACUGACGCUGAUGCGCGAAAGCGUGGGGAGCGAACAGGAUUAGAUACCCGGGUAGUC